This 358-nucleotide unclassified non-coding RNA is filed under the name soil metagenome. RNAcentral's name for it is "partial contains 5.8S ribosomal RNA, internal transcribed spacer 2, and large subunit ribosomal RNA". The stretch from base 1 to 120 matches the Rfam family "5.8S ribosomal RNA", at positions 35 to 154 of the family's 154-position model. The record is from RNAcentral.
GAUGAAGAACGUAGCGAAAUGCGAUAAGUAAUGUGAAUUGCAGAAUUCAGUGAAUCAUCGAAUCUUUGAACGCACAUUGUGCCCGUCAGUAUUCUGGCGGGCAUGCCUGUUCGAGCGUCAUUACGCCCCUCAAGUCCCCUGUGGACUUGGUGUUGGGGAUCGGCGAGGCUGGUUUUCCAGCACAGCCGUCCCUUAAAUUAAUUGGCGGUCUCGCCGUGGCCCUCCUCUGCGCAGUAGUAAAACACUCGCAACAGGAGCCCGGCGCGGUCCACUGCCGUAAAACCCCCCAACUUUUUAUAGUUGACCUCGAAUCAGGUAGGACUACCCGCUGAACUUACGCAUAUCAAUAAGCGGAGGA